RNAcentral lists this ribosomal RNA (383 nucleotides) under uncultured eukaryote. RNAcentral describes it as "partial 18S ribosomal RNA". It matches the Rfam family "Eukaryotic small subunit ribosomal RNA", at positions 592 to 976 of the family's 1831-position model. The record is from RNAcentral.
CAAUAGCGUAUAUUAAAGUUGUUGCAGUUAAAAAGCUCGUAGUUGGAUUUCUGGUAGGAGCGACCGUGCCGAACUUGAUUGUUCGAGUAUUGUGUUGUCUUCAGCCAUCCUCGUGGAGAACUUUUCUAACAUUAACUUGUUGGGAUUGGGACCCGCGUCGUUUACUGUGAAAAAAUUAGAGUGUUUAAAGCAGGCAUUUGCUUGAAUACAUUAGCAUGGAAUAAUAAGAUAGGACUUUGGUACUAUUUUGUUGGUUUGCAUACCAAAUUAAUGAUCAACAGGAACAGUUUGAGGAUAUUCGUAUGAACAUGUCAGAGGUGAAAUUCUUGGAUUUUGAUCAGACGAACUACUGCGAAAGCAUUUAUCAAGGAUGUUUUCAUUAA